Rosa rugosa (rugosa rose) is the source of this 6031-nucleotide long non-coding RNA. RefSeq lists it as uncharacterized. The transcript is spliced from 10 exons. NCBI's taxonomy places the organism in Eukaryota, Viridiplantae, Streptophyta, Magnoliopsida, Rosales, Rosaceae. The record is from RefSeq and is a predicted model, not a curated record.
UGAGACUUUUUCACGAGGAUAGUUUCAACUCUGCCUCCAAAAAGCUUCUAUAUGACUAGAUUGUGAGGAAGGUGCCUGACAAAAUUGAGAGCCACUCAGUUGAGGAAGGUAAUUUUACUAACAGCACACACAGCACAGCACCAAAUUAGCCCCUCGGUCACUCAGAGCAGAAGACCCAAAGUAGAUUUUUUUUUUACCCCAUUUUCAAUCUCUCCCCUUGUCUCUAUGAAUCGCUCGCCGUGACCGCGUUCCCGUCCGAUUCCGGCUCCGAUCUCCCAUCAGGUUCUUUUGGCAAGAUUCAAGGAGGUGUGCCUGGUUCUUCAAGUUCAUAUCAAGUAGUAGAACUACCAGCAUUCUCAAGUCCAAUGCACACUGCCCUCAACUGGAAAGGCCAUGGAGCAUGAUGGGCGAAAUACUAAUAUGCUAUCUGAUGCAAAUAAAAUAUUGCAGGCUGGCAGGCAAAAUAAUGCAGUAGAAAUGAGUGUGGUGAGAAGUGCAGCUUCUAGAGAUACUGGUAAAUCUCCAGUUCAUGUGGCCCCUGCAUCUUCUGGCAUGCCUUUUAAAGAACAGCAGUUGAAACAGCUCAGAGCGCAGUGCCUUGUCUUUUUAGCCUUCAGAAAUGGUUUGAUGCCAAAGAAACUUCAUCUUGAAAUUGCGCUUGGAAACAAUUCACCUAAAGAAGGUGGCAAUACAGAUGGCCCUCAAAAAGAUUUUGUUGACCAUAAAGGAAAAGCACAAUCUUCAAAUGAGCCAAAUAACAAUUCUGAUGCUAGUAUGCCAUUUGGAAGACUUAACCAUGAUACUGAUAAAAGUGCAGUCUCCAGUGGGAUACUCCUGGAGACUGACACUUUGGCAAAAAAAUCUGAGAGCCCAAAAAUGAAGGAGAAGCUGAAACGCAACCUCAGGAUACCACUUGUUUAACUGUGGCAUCACAGCAGUCUGACUCAGGUGCAAGACGUGGUUUAACUGUUAACCCUGUGGAAAAUAUAGAGACUGGACAUUUGCAACUUGGACGAGUCAACCCAGCCUCUUCUCUAAUGGGUAUGAACAAGCAGAACUCUGAUAUAAGCAGCUGGACUGGGGUUGGCAGUCAAACUGAAGUUUCCGGAGGACUGUUACCUCCUUCUGCCGGUCAGCCUGAGAUUUUUCCUGAAAGAAAAGAUACUGCACCCAGCCAGUUCCAAAAUCACGGUAACAAUGUUUUGGGGAAUCAACAUACUGCCAAUCACCCAGAUUCUUUUGCAUCUAGAUCGUCGGAAACCAAUUGCAGAAUUGGCAAUGAUCAUCACCCAGUAGACUAAAACUGAUUUUAGUUUAUUCAAAUGGAAAUGGAUGUUUUUCUACAAAAUUCCUACCAUAUAUCCUCUAGUUAGUUACCUUGCAUUUAGAACUGUUGAGACUUCACUUAUGUCCAACUUUCGUCAAAUUCAAAGGAGCAAUGGAUCCUCGGAGAAACCUUGUUGUGGCUCAUUUAUGAAAUGUGUACAUUGUUUGUUUGUGAGAGUGGCAUUAAGAAAGAAUCAGUGAGUCUGGCUUAAUGGCAUUGCAGGAAUCAAUGGUUGCCCCAAAUCUACUUCUUUAUUGGUGUUCGGGUUAAUAUGUAAAGUUAGCUCUGCGGGAAAAGUGGAAAAACUUGGUGUCUGCUUACUUUAGUAGGAUUUGCAUACUCUGAACUUAAACAAAAUAGGGAUCAUCAAUUAAGCAGAUGAGUUUUACAUUACUUUAACUAUGCACUGUCAUGAUAUUCGUGUUCAAUAGCAUGAACAGAAAUACACAGGAAAGGUUAUUUGGCACAUCAUACUGUGCAUCUCACUAAAGGGGAAUACUUAUGUGAUUUGCUUGAUAAUUUCUCAUGUUGUUUUAGUGUUUGACUAUUUAUAGCAUAUAUCUGACUCUACAAACUAAGACUAUACAUCAGCCUGAAAAGGAAAUUGUUUGGUACUUACUUUGUUUGCCUUUCAAGUCACGAUAUUUGAUAAGUGAUCUCCAAAUCGUGGUUUUACCAAGUUGGUAAUUCAGUUUUGAAAUGGAAAGUAAUCUGUCAAAUUCAUUUAAACUCUCUGGAAUGUUGUUUGUUGGAAUCAGCGAUCAACAUCUGUCUUGCACCUCAUGAGACUUUGACAUCUUUCUGCUCAGCUUGUUUUUCUUUUUUCCCUUAAUGUAAAAAGUUUGUUAAGAAAGUGGCUGCAUGCCCUAACCCACCCUAUUCUGGUCUACUACUCUCCUUAAACUCUAAAAUAUAGAUUGUUACUAGAUUCAAUAGAUCCUGUGUGCAUGAAUUUGCAUGUUUAUAUAUUGGGGAACAGGUACUUGUAAUGCAUUGUUUGGAUGGUACUUUUUUUCUUUUUUAAAUUUGAUAUUGUAUGUGCCUCUGUACUACAUCUUAUAAUUUUUGCUGCAGGAAAAUGUGAGCUCAUCUGAAGAUAUAUCUGCAAAAACCAAAAGUGUUAUAGAACUGAAAAAACUACAGCUCUUGGAAUUGCAACGCCGUCCCAGGAGGCCCUGCAUCAGGAGAAAGUCCAAACCUAAAAGAGGCUUUGCCUGAAAAUUGCUCAUCCAAACCUAAGAAUGACAAAAUUUCAGGAGAUGAAGGUUCUACCACACCAGUUUCUGUAUCAAAUGAGACCAUUUCAGAGGUGAAUAAGAGUCAUACUCUGGAGGAGAAAGCUCUUCCAGCAACUCCAACUUUGGUCGCUGCAUCUCCUGUUUUUAGUCCUUCAACUGGUUCCCUUCCCGGUUCUACUCCCAUGGAAAACAGUGGUGAGGCAAAACAUCAUGGUGCUGAGAUUUCUCCUAGAUCUCAGUCAAAGCUGUCCUCUUCUGUUUCUCCUGCUUCCCCUGCUUCUCAGUCUAUCACUCCUAGCCCUUCCAAACCUGUGGAAGUCAAAAAAACAGGGUCGAAAGGCUUCAAGCAGAGCUGAAGCACCCCAUCGCGGCAGGGGAAGAAGCAGGCUCCUGUGUUACCAGCUGUGUCUGAUGGUUCAGCUAGUCAGGAUCCAGAAUUACAGGAUAUGUCUGCUGGCACAUUGGGGAGUAAGACUGCUGCACUGGGAAGAAAGCAAGGUACUGAUGGGCAGGAACUGGUACAUGUUAUUCAGUCCCAGAUAAGUUAAGUGCAUUUAGUUAGCAGUUUAACUGAUUCUGAUCCAAAAAGAAAAGAGCACCCAAGCUAUCCUACCCAAAAUAAGCAGCCUACAAACUCAUCAUCAACGAUUGACAGUGCUGCUGGAUCCUCUGAUAAGACUUCUGCUCUGGGAUGUAUCCAGACUGCUAAUGUAAACGAUGUUGCUUGUGUGAUGAAAGAGGUCUUUUCUGGCACACGUUUAUCAAAAGCUAAAAUUUCUGAGUCUUUUGGGAGAGAAGGUCGGGUUUCCCCCCGCGUACCUGUAUCCCCAGUAAGACUCCGGUGGACGUGGCCAAAAACCAAGAGGUUUCUGAACCUGAGACGGGUGAUCUUUCGAAUGCGUCCAAGGUUGGCGAUGGUGGUUGUUCCAGAAAACAUUGAUUUCUCUGCAUCCUCCUUGGCAAGGAAAAAAAGGUAGACUGCUUACCUGUUGGCAGCUUAGUAACACUGGAGAGUUCAAAAGGAUCUCCAGCUGAAAAGGAUUCUUUGAUGGAUUCCCACGAUGCUUCUGGGAGAGUGGCAGAAAUUGUUCAGCCUGUGGUUACAUUAACCAUGGGCAGUUAAUAGUGUUGAAGGAUCAUCUGAGGCAGGCCUGUAGGCAGUCUCAAGUUACAGGAGUCAGAACAUGAAGCUAAAGCUAGUGAUGCUUUUCAGGUCUCUAGGACACUGCCUGAAAUUGUGUCUGGAAACAUUGAUCAGCCUCUGGUUUCUUUGACUCUGGGAGGUGAUAGUGUUGUAGGCUUAUCUGAGGCACAACCUAUAGACAGCUCCAAGCCGCCAGAGGAGUUGGAAUGUGCAGCUAAAGUUGUUGAAACUUCUCAGGUUUGUGUGACAAGCAUUAUCAGCCUCUAAUUACCUUGACUAUGGGGUGUGAUAUUGAAGGCUCUGAAGCAGGUCCUGUAGGUAGCUCUAAACCUCUAGAGGAGGUGGAAUGUGAGGUUAAAGUUGGUAAUACUUCUCAAGUUAAUGGGUCAUUUCUGGCAAAUGUGUCUGAAAACCUUGAUUUCCGUCCCUCUUCUGAAGCUAAAGUUGGUAAUACUUCUCAAGUUUAUGAGUCAUUGCCGGCAAAUGCGUCUGAAAACCUGGAUUUACAGCUCUCUUCUGAAGCUAAAGCUGGUGAUGUCUCUGACAUUUGUGAGACAUUGACAGAAGUUGUACCUGAAAACAUGGAUUUGCAGCCAUGUUCAACAGGGCAGAAGUCGGAAUCAGAAGCUAUAUUUGGUGUUGCUUCUCAGGUGCAUGAGACUGUGUCAAAAAUUGUAUCUGAAAACAUGGAGUUGCAGCCAUCUUCAACAGUGCAGGAGUUGGAAUCUGAAGAAGUUGAUGCGUCUCAGGUUUGUGAGACAGUGUUGGAAUUUGUACCUGAGAACAUGGAUUUGCAGCCAUCUUCAACAGUGCAGGAGUCGGAAUCUGAAACUAGAGGUGGUGAGGCUUCUCAGGUUAGCAAAACAUUGCCGGAGUCUGAAAACAUGGAUUUGCAGACAUUGGCAACAGCAUAUGACUCAGUAUCUGCAGCUAAAGCUGGUGAGGUGUCUCAGUUUAGUGAAGCAUUGCUAAAGUCUGGAAAUAUGGAUUUGCAAACAUCUUCAACAGCACAGGAAUCAGAAUCUGAAGCUAAAGUAGGUGAUGCUUCUGGGGUUUGUGAGACAUUGCUGGAGUCCAAAAUCAUGGAUUUGCAACCAUCUUCAACAGUUCAGGAUACACAAUCUUUAACUAAAGUUGGUGAUGAUUCUCAGGUUUGUGAGACUGGAGUCUGAAAACAUGGAUUUGCAGCCAUCUUCAGGAGCACAGGUGUCUAAAGCUGAUGCUAAAGUGGGUGAUGUUUCUCAGGAUUCUGAGACAUUGCCAAAGUCUGAAAACAUGGAUUUGCAGCCAUCUUCAACUGUACAGGAAUCUGAAGCUGAAGCUAACAUUUCUGAGUCUUUUGGGAGAGAAGGUAGUGUUUCCCCCGGUGUACCUGUAUCACUAAGACUCUGGUGGACAUGGCCGAAAACCAAAAUUUGGAGGAUAAAGCAUGUUCUGGUGUGGAAUUGAAGGUUUCGAAACUGAGAUGGAUGAUAUUUUGAAUGCGUCAAAGCUCAUUGAAUAUGCUAGCCUUUACAAAUAUCCUCAAGAAAUUUGACAAGGUAUCGAACCAGCAGGCAUCAGCAAGUUAUCUAAAAGCAGUGAAGAGAUCACAUUUCAUCAGUUCUGAUAAGCAGUACGUGGGGAUGAUGAUGAUGUUUCAACAACUUUAAUUUCAAGUCUUUUAUUUGAUGGGGCGGUGGACAAUUCCUUUCUUGGGCUCGUUGACUGCACUUCACAUGGCUGCCACAUCUGUGAUCUGUCCUUGGGCUUUCUUGGAUGAUGGGGCCUCGACAAAGAGAUCCUACGCAUCUGUGGUUCGCCCGUCUUCCAUUCCCAUUGUGGAUUUACCAGCGACGGUUGUACAGGAUGGGAAGACUACUGUUAUGAGAUAUCUGAGGAAGCUUAUCAGUCUGGGCUGGAUAAGUGUAAGCACAUGUUGCUUGGUGACCUGCAAUUGGCCUUCGAGGAUAAGUCGUAUUCUCCACCCGAUCUUCAGCGUAAGCUUGCGGCUAUUUGGAGUGCUCUAGGUAGUUGGAAGAUCAUCCCAAUGGGGAAGGGAUAUUACUCGUUCAAUUUUGCCUCUGCAGAUUCACUGGCUAGGGUUUGGGCGCAGGGUGCUAUCGCUCUCAAGUCUGGUACGUUGAGGUUUAUGAAAUGGGUUCCAAAUUUCUCCCCAGCGAGUCAAAAGAACACUGUUAGAAUUUGUGGCUUUGAUACUACUGUUGUAAUUUGGUGCGGAAGCUUUAGGAGUAGUGGGAUAGGACAAUGUGUUUAGGACUUUAGUUUUGGGAGCAAGAGUUUGGGAGAAGGAGUAGAGGAGAUGGUUGAGUAGUUAAAACA